RNAcentral lists this ribosomal RNA (3026 nucleotides) under Salmonella sp. SSDFZ54. Its description in RNAcentral is "23S ribosomal RNA". It matches the Rfam family "Bacterial large subunit ribosomal RNA". The record is from RNAcentral. Lineage: Bacteria; Pseudomonadati; Pseudomonadota; Gammaproteobacteria; Enterobacterales; Enterobacteriaceae.
GGGUUGUGAGGUUAAGCGACUAAGCGUACACGGUGGAUGCCCUGGCAGUCAGAGGCGAUGAAGGGCGUGCUAAUCUGCGAUAAGCGCCGGUAAGGUGAUAUGAACCGUUAUAACCGGCGAUACCCGAAUGGGGAAACCCAGUGUGAUUCGUCACACUAUCAUUAACUGAAUCCAUAGGUUAAUGAGGCGAACCGGGGGAACUGAAACAUCUAAGUACCCCGAGGAAAAGAAAUCAACCGAGAUUCCCCCAGUAGCGGCGAGCGAACGGGGAGGAGCCCAGAGCCUGAAUCAGCAUGUGUGUUAGUGGAAGCGUCUGGAAAGGCGCGCGAUACAGGGUGACAGCCCCGUACACAAAAGCGCAUAUGCUGUGAGCUCGAUGAGUAGGGCGGGACACGUGGUAUCCUGUCUGAAUAUGGGGGGACCAUCCUCCAAGGCUAAAUACUCCUGACUGACCGAUAGUGAACCAGUACCGUGAGGGAAAGGCGAAAAGAACCCCGGCGAGGGGAGUGAAAAAGAACCUGAAACCGUGUACGUACAAGCAGUGGGAGCCCCACCACUAAGCCAGUGGUGAACUCCACAUACGCAUCCUUUGCUGAGGAUACGGUUAACGGAGCGAAAGCGACGUUCAACCUCAAAAGAAGCAGAGGGGGCUUAGUGGUGGGGUGACUGCGUACCUUUUGUAUAAUGGGUCAGCGACUUAUAUUCUGUAGCAAGGUUAACCGAAUAGGGGAGCCGGAGGGAAACCGAGUCUUAAUUGGGCGUUAAGUUGCAGGGUAUAGACCCGAAACCCGGUGAUCUAGCCAUGGGCAGGUUGAAGGUUGGGUAACACUAACUGGAGGACCGAACCGACUAAUGUUGAAAAAUUAGCGGAUGACCUGUGGCUGGGGGUGAAAGGCCAAUCAAACCGGGAGAUAGCUGGUUCUCCCCGAAAGCUAUUUAGGUAGCGCCUCGUGAACUCAUCUCCGGGGGUAGAGCACUGUUUCGGCUAGGGGGCCAUCCCGGCUUACCAACCCGAUGCAAACUGCGAAUACCGGAGAAUGUUAUCACGGGAGACACACGGCGGGUGCUAACGUCCGUCGUGAAGAGGGAAACAACCCAGACCGCCAGCUAAGGUCCCAAAGUCAUGGUUAAGUGGGAAACGAUGUGGGAAGGCCCAGACAGCCAGGAUGUUGGCUUAGAAGCAGCCAUCAUUUAAAGAAAGCGUAAUAGCUCACUGGUCGAGUCGGCCUGCGCGGAAGAUGUAACGGGGCUAAACCAUGCACCGAAGCUGCGGCAGCGACGCUGAUGCGUUGUUGGGUAGGGGAGCGUUCUGUAAGCCUGUGAAGGUGGCCUGUGAGGGUUGCUGGAGGUAUCAGAAGUGCGAAUGCUGACAUAAGUAACGAUAAAGCGGGUGAAAAGCCCGCUCGCCGGAAGACCAAGGGUUCCUGUCCAACGUUAAUCGGGGCAGGGUGAGUCGACCCCUAAGGCGAGGCCGAAAGGCGUAGUCGAUGGGAAACGGGUUAAUAUUCCCGUACUUGGUGUUACUGCGAAGGGGGGACGGAGAAGGCUAUGUUGGCCGGGCGACGGUUGUCCCGGUUUAAGCGUGUAGGCUGGUUUUCCAGGCAAAUCCGGAAAAUCAAGGCUGAGGCGUGAUGACGAGGCACUACGGUGCUGAAGCAACAAAUGCCCUGCUUCCAGGAAAAGCCUCUAAGCAUCAGGUAACAUCAAAUCGUACCCCAAACCGACACAGGUGGUCAGGUAGAGAAUACCAAGGCGCUUGAGAGAACUCGGGUGAAGGAACUAGGCAAAAUGGUGCCGUAACUUCGGGAGAAGGCACGCUGACAUGUAGGUGAAGUGAUUUACUCAUGGAGCUGAAGUCAGUCGAAGAUACCAGCUGGCUGCAACUGUUUAUUAAAAACACAGCACUGUGCAAACACGAAAGUGGACGUAUACGGUGUGACGCCUGCCCGGUGCCGGAAGGUUAAUUGAUGGGGUCAGCGCAAGCGAAGCUCCUGAUCGAAGCCCCGGUAAACGGCGGCCGUAACUAUAACGGUCCUAAGGUAGCGAAAUUCCUUGUCGGGUAAGUUCCGACCUGCACGAAUGGCGUAAUGAUGGCCAGGCUGUCUCCACCCGAGACUCAGUGAAAUUGAACUCGCUGUGAAGAUGCAGUGUACCCGCGGCAAGACGGAAAGACCCCGUGAACCUUUACUAUAGCUUGACACUGAACAUUGAGCCUUGAUGUGUAGGAUAGGUGGGAGGCUUUGAAGUGUGGACGCCAGUCUGCAUGGAGCCGACCUUGAAAUACCACCCUUUAAUGUUUGAUGUUCUAACGUGGACCCGUAAUCCGGGUUGCGGACAGUGUCUGGUGGGUAGUUUGACUGGGGCGGUCUCCUCCUAAAGAGUAACGGAGGAGCACGAAGGUUGGCUAAUCCUGGUCGGACAUCAGGAGGUUAGUGCAAUGGCAUAAGCCAGCUUGACUGCGAGCGUGACGGCGCGAGCAGGUGCGAAAGCAGGUCAUAGUGAUCCGGUGGUUCUGAAUGGAAGGGCCAUCGCUCAACGGAUAAAAGGUACUCCGGGGAUAACAGGCUGAUACCGCCCAAGAGUUCAUAUCGACGGCGGUGUUUGGCACCUCGAUGUCGGCUCAUCACAUCCUGGGGCUGAAGUAGGUCCCAAGGGUAUGGCUGUUCGCCAUUUAAAGUGGUACGCGAGCUGGGUUUAGAACGUCGUGAGACAGUUCGGUCCCUAUCUGCCGUGGGCGCUGGAGAACUGAGGGGGGCUGCUCCUAGUACGAGAGGACCGGAGUGGACGCAUCACUGGUGUUCGGGUUGUCAUGCCAAUGGCACUGCCCGGUAGCUAAAUGCGGAAGAGAUAAGUGCUGAAAGCAUCUAAGCACGAAACUUGCCCCGAGAUGAGUUCUCCCUGAGACUUAGAGUCUCCUGAAGGAACGUUGAAGACGACGACGUUGAUAGGCCGGGUGUGUAAGCGCAGCGAUGCGUUGAGCUAACCGGUACUAAUGAACCGUGAGGCUUAACCUUACAACGCCGAAG